Molecule: long non-coding RNA, 6094 nt
Filed under: Citrus sinensis (sweet orange)
Lineage: Eukaryota; Viridiplantae; Streptophyta; Magnoliopsida; Sapindales; Rutaceae
Description: long non-coding RNA (CSIN_LNC000506)
Source: RNAcentral
UUAGGGUGGGCAAUGAGUUGGGUGCAGCACAUCCAAAAUCGUGUAAGUUCUCAGUGAUCGUGGUAACUUCAAUUUCACUCGCACUCUCUGUGAUUCUGGCCAUUCUUGUCCUCAUACUGCGCAAUGUCUUGAGCUAUGCCUUCACUGGCGGCUCCACCGUCGCCGACUCCGUUGCUGAACUCAGCCCUUUUCUCGCUUUCUCCGUAAUUCUCAACGGCGUCCAGCCUGUUCUGUCAGGUAAUUCUUAUUCUCCUAGCUUAUCAUCUCCUUUCUCGCUCACCUAACCCUUUUUUUUUUUUAACCAACCAUGAUAGUAAUACAGGUAAAUAUUCACAGCAUUGCAUUUUAUCAAAUAACGUCAAUAAUAAGACACAGAAUUGAAGAUGCAGGAACCAAUUAUAUGUUUAUUUACUAUUUACUAUGUAAUAGUCAAUUAUUUAAAGCGCGUGCAUUGCUGUAUAAGGUAGUAUUUACGUUGUUGAUAUUUAGCUUUGCACAAGACGGCGACGUGCUGAUGAACAUAAUUUAUAUACAUAUUUUAUCUUUAAUUAUUUAAUUGUUAGUUAUUUUUAUUUUUAAUUAAUUAAAUUAUUUUAUUGAAUAGAAAAUUAAUUAGAGAUUAUGGAUAAAAAGAGCAUAAAGAAAUUCAAUUUGUAAGCAUUAAAGAUUAAUUGAUUUUUGAAAGCAAUUAGACAUACAUGCAUGCGGAAAUCAAGCCAAGGAACUGAAUUCAACAAGUUAAUUCAUCAUGUACACGCGGACAAAGGAGAGAAAUUGAUUUAGCUUUAAGAAGGGACCCACACUUGACUUUUAUAAUUGGAAAAAUGAGCCCUUUAGCAAUUCUAAGUGGCCAGGACGUGUGUGAGAGCAAAUCAAGUAAAAGGCCAAGCCUUUUGGCUUUAGCAUUUAAGAGGUGGGGCUCAUUUUAAAGAUUAUUAAAAGGGAGUUUUGGCUUUUGGAGAGAGGAGCCGCCAGAGGAGGAAAACCCGAGACAAAGAAGAAAAUCUACAGUAGUUCGACUUUUAUGGCUGUAUUUAUUUCUUUUGUUGCUCACAUUUUAAGUAUAAUUAACUAAUUUUUUUAUAUUGAGGUUAAAGAUGAAGUCCUAUUCAAUAAAAUAAUUAUCUUUUUAUUUAUUUAAUUCUCUUUAUAUGUUUUUUAAUAUUAUGAUUUUUAUUUCACAUGAUUAAUUGAAUGUUAUUAAAAUCUUUCAUCAAUUCUGUCAUGCAUUAUUGAUUGUUAGAAUUAAUAUUCGAUUAAAUCUAUGCUUGGAUUUAUAAAGUUUAUACAUGAUUAUCUUUGAUUCUAUGUCUUUUCAUUAAAUUGUUUACAUAGAGUGCUUAGGAAACUUUGACUAUUUAUUAUUCAAUAUGUUUACAUGGGAUGCUAAGAUGUCAUACUAUUAAGUAGAAAAAGAACCUACAUUAGAUUUAAUUAUUUGGGCUUAAUUGUUAUAUUUAUGAGAUGACAUAGACUGAUUUCGAGUUGUCACUCUAAAAUUAGGGAUUAAUUAAUAAUUAGAUAAUUACUAGUUAAAUAGUGGUGGAUUUUAAAACCUUAGUAAUUUUUAUCUUAUUGAAUUCUCCUUUAUUUUAAUUGCUUCCUUAGUUUAAUUGGUUUAAUUUUCUUAGAAACUUAAUUUGGUCAACUAGGUUAGAAUUAAUAUUAAUUUUAGAUUUAAAUUAAAUUUUUUAAUUUAUAAUAAUCCUUGUGGGAUCGACCUCGUUAUCACUAUUUUAUCUCUAAAUUCGUACGCUUGCAAGUAUAUUAAAAUUUUCACAACACGUGCUCGCAUACACCGCCACACAACACAACAAACAGGCAAAUGAGUUCAUUAGUGUAUGUACGUCAACUCAAGCUUUAAUAAAUGUUGCUUUUCUACAGUUAUUAGUGGGGGAAAAAGACCCACGUUCCUGUUCUUUGAUUAAAUAAAUACAAACUCCAUUGAUAUUUUAAAAAGCAUCAAACUCUUUCAAGCGUUAAUUUUUCUACUGAUUAUUUGCUCUCGAUGAUUAUUUUACGUUAGGAAUAUAAUUGCUUUUAAUUAAUUGAAAAAUAUGAGCUACCUUAAUUACUUUAGUGAAAAAAUUUAAUAACAGUCGGCCUUUGAUUAUAAUGUCAAUCAAUAAUUGAGAAGUAGUGAAUAAUUAGACGAUAAACGUCGUUUUUAUUGCUAGCUGUUGCCAUAUUAUAUUUAUUACAUAGCUCCAGCUCUUCCUCUCCAUUUCCCCAUAAUUAAUUUGUUGUGGCUUCAAAAUUCAAAUCAUUAAUAAUUAACGCUACUGCAAUUGAUGUGAUAUAUUAAAGGGAAAAUAUCUACCGUCCACCUGAUUUUGUCCACUUUUUUAAAAAUACAUAAAUCCUAAUUUUUUUAGCUGCGCUCCACCUGAACUUAUAAUUUUUUUCACAUUUCCACCUCCGUCUGCAAACCGUCAAUAAAACUAACGAAAUUUUGUCCAAAUUACUUUUUAAUCCCAAAAAUAAAAAAUUACAUAUUUACCCUAAAUAAACGUCAAAAUAUUAGCUUUGUGAGUAUUGUAGCCCUAAAUAAAAACUGAAAAUCUUUAAAUCCUUUCAAAAAUUUUAUUUUUUAAACAAAUAUUAUAAAAUCUCGCAAUCUCGCAACACAAAAGGACCCCACAUUUUCUCGGGAGCCAAACAGGAACAGACGGAAGAAAGCGAACCUGCCAGAGAAGGACAGGAUUGGAAGUCCGCCCGGCGGGCUCUUCGGCCUCGAGCUCAAUCGGCGGCGGAAGAAUCGGACGCAUGGCGUCCGGAAACCUAGCCAAGCUCGGCUUCACACUACUAGCAUUACCUUCAUCGGCUUCACUAACCGUUGACGUUUUGGCAGUCCCUUUAGAAACAACAGUUUCUUCUGCUUUCUUAGGUUGUUGAUUAAAGAAGAAAGGGAGAUUGAGUUGGAAUUUCGGCAACCGCGAGAGUAUGCUUUUGUUUUCUUGUUUUCUGGGACUGGAAGCGAUUUCUGUGUUUUCCGCCAUGACUACGGUCGAUGACUUUCAGAGUAGAAGAUUUUGGCUUUGCCUUUGCUUUUUCUUUCUUUCUUUUUUUAUUUUUUUAAAAGCGGAAAUUUCACCACCUCUCGUUUCUUGCUUGCUUCUGCAGCUUCUCUUUCUUCACCUUCACUUUUAUUUCUCUCUUGCUUAUUAUUAAAUAUUGGAGCAGAAAAUAAUAAGUUUGUAAAGUGUGCGAACAGGUUUUUGGGUUCUUUUGAGUCUUUAUUUUCGCUCUCAAUUUGUGUGUCUUGUGCAGCCAUGAAUGCGAAUGUGGUGAGUAGAGACCAGAGAAUAAUUAAGCUUUGAGCUUCGAGUUUAUCAAAGCUUUUGUUUGGGUUCUUGAAACCGAAAUAAUUUUUUUUUUGCUUAUUACAGAUCUUAAACGACGUCGUUUUUUAAGCCCAAGUGAAAUUAUCAUUUUAGCCUUAUGACGUCAGCAACGUCUUGACGGUUUGCAAAUGGAGGUGGAAAUGUGAAAAAAAUUAUAAGUUCAGGUGGAGCGCAGCUAAAAAAAUUAAGAUUUGUGUAUUUUUAAAAAAAUGGACAAAAUCAAGUAGACGGUGGAUAUUUUUCCUAUAUUAAACGACACUAGGAGUAGCUGUUGGGUGCGGAUGGCAAGCUUUUAUUGCUUAUGUUAACUUGGGAUGUUACUACCUGAUUGGUAUCCCAUUUUUGACAACAUUUUCCAAUCAAUUCUAUUGAUGUUCACCAUUUUGAGCAUUAAUAAUGGCUUCUUGCUUUCCUUCCAAAUUCAUCUGCUUUCUCGGAAAUGCUUCAUUUUCUUAACAUUUUGUGAAUAUUGGCACCCAAAAAAAAAAAAAAAGAAAGAAAGGUAGAGAAAUCGUUGCAAAUAAUUAGUCGAAAGAAUUUCCAUUCUUGUUUCUUUUUUGUUCUAAUUUUUUUUUUUUUGGGCCAAGAUGAGAUCAAUUUUCAGACUAAUCACAUACGUAUGAUAAGAGAUUAAUUACUUUUACAACUAUUACAUAAUUGAAGACCAAGUUUUUGAAGAUCUGUGUGCAAUUGAUAAAACUAUAUAUGAACAUAAAAACAAUUAAGCAACUAGAUUUAAAAAAAUUUUGUGAAAUUGCAUUAGAAGAAGUCCAAAAAAAAAAAUUUCACGUUUUCUUUUAAAAAUAAAAAUAAAAUCUCGUUCAGCAAAGUAUAUAUUUUGACACGUAACCUACCUAACAAUAUAUGAAUAUUGAUUGGGAACUUUGAGGUGACAACAAAUUGAACACCUUUUUUGUUUAUUUGUUAAUUGACAACUCAAAAUUCAAAAACAUAAUCUCUUACGUAAGACUAACGCUAAUUACAUCUGAAUCCCUAAUAUUUUAUGUCUUAUCAAAUAAUCAUAUGAUUUUUCCACUUGUAUCGAUCAGUAUGUAAUGAAAUGAAGUUUUCCCCGUUUGCCAUAUAUUCAUAUUGUGUUAACCUAACUUUCUAUGUAUGUCUUUGAAAGUUAAGUGGCAGAUGCCAUAUUAUAUCGCCUACAUAUAUAUAAAUAAUUAACGGGGAGGUAGCUGCGUGUGUGUUGAGAGUUGAGAGACAAGACUCACAAGAGCGAAGGAACUUACAUGGAUUCCUCCAACACUGAUAAUAAUAAUAAUGUCCAUGAACCCAUGUUGCAAAGCAACGGGUCGGAGGUCGAGCCAGUGAGUUCUGAGCUUGAAGAAGCUCUGUCGGACGACAGCUUGUCAUUCUUUCAGAGAAUCAAGAAAGCAACAUGGAUCGAACUCAAAAACCUCUUCCGCCUAGCAGCCCCAGCAAUCUUGGUUUACAUGCUCAAUAACCUUGUCGCCAUGUCCACUCAGAUCUUUUGCGGCCAUCUUGGCAAUCUUGAGCUCGCUGCCGUCUCUCUUGGCAACACUGGCAUCCAAGUUUUCGCCUAUGGCCUUAUGGUACGUAAUAGUAUAUAUAUGUGUGUGUAUAUAUAUAAUUACUGUCCGAUUACAAUUAGAAUAUUAUUUUUACACAGUUGGGAAUGGGAAGCGCUACUGAAACUUUAUGUGGCCAAGCUUACGGGGCACAGAAGUACGACAUGCUAGGCGUUUAUCUUCAAAGAUCGGCAGUCAUACUCACGGCAACUGGGAUACCACUCAUGGUCAUCUACAUAUUCUCAAAACAAAUCUUGCUCCUGCUAGGGGAAUCAAGUGCCAUUGCAUCAGCAGCAGCAAUCUUCGUUUUCGGUCUAAUCCCACAGAUAUUUGCCUACGCCGUCAAUUUCCCCAUACAAAAGUUCCUACAAGCACAAAGCAUAAUCUCGCCAAGUGCAUACAUCUCAGCUACAACACUUGUGGUGCAUGUGCUCCUAAGUUGGGUUGCGAUUUUCAAGCUAGGCUGGGGACUUCUAGGGGCAUCGUUGGUGUUAAGUUUGUCGUGGUGGAUUAUAGUGGCGGCACAAUUCGUGUACAUUUUGUUGAGUGAAAGGUGCAAAAAGACAUGGACUGGGUUUAGCUUACAGGCGUUUUCUGGGCUGUGGGACUUCCUGAAAUUGUCAACAGCAUCGGCUGUAAUGCUGUGCCUCGAGAUUUGGUACUAUCAGAUCAUUGUUUUGAUUGCUGGGUUGCUCGAUAAUGCUGAAAUUGUGCUCGACUCUCUCUCCAUCUGGUAAGAUACGAAUUAUUUGUCUGUUUAAUCUCUUUAAUAUGCUCAUCGGCAUCAUGUUGCCAAAGUAAUUCAAUGCAACCGCAUGCUAUUACAUGUGUCCACUAAUGCAGCAUGACGAUUGCUGGAUGGGUGUUCAUGAUUGCUGUGGGUUUCAAUGCGGCAGCAAGGUACGUAAUUGAUUAGUGUUUUCCACUAAUUAGUUACAAUUAUUUGCGCUGAAUUGGUGAAAUACACACGUACGUACAGUGUUAGGGUGGGCAAUGAGUUGGGUGCAGCACAUCCAAAAUCGUGUAAGUUCUCAGUGAUUGUGGUAACUUCAAUUUCACUCGCACUCUCUGUGAUUCUGGCCAUUCUUGUCCUCAUACUGCGCAAUGUCAUGAGCUAUGCCUUCACUGGCGGCUCCACCGUCGCCGACUCCGUUGCUGAACUCAGCCCUUUUCUUGCUUUAUCCGUAAUUCUCAACGGCAUCCAGC